RNAcentral lists this ribosomal RNA (340 nucleotides) under uncultured soil bacterium. Its description in RNAcentral is "bacterial SSU rRNA". It matches the Rfam family "Bacterial small subunit ribosomal RNA", at positions 26 to 363 of the family's 1533-position model. The record is from RNAcentral.
AGAGUGAACGCUGGCGGUAGGCCUAACACAUGCAAGUCGAACGGCAGCACAGUGGUAGCAAUACCAUGGGUGGCGAGUGGCGGACGGGUGAGGAAUACAUCGGAAUCUACCUUUUCGUGGGGGAUAACGUAGGGAAACUUACGCUAAUACCGCAUACGCCCUUUGGGGGAAAGCCGGGGAUCGCAAGACCUGGCGCGGCUAGAUGAGCCGAUGUCGGAUUAGCUAGUUGGUGAGGUAAUGGCUCACCAAGGCGACGAUCCGUAGCUGGUCUGAGAGGAUGAUCAGCCACACUGGAACUGAGACACGGUCCAGACUCUUACGGGAGCAGCAGUGGGGAAUA